UACGUAGGGGGCAAGCGUUGUCCGGAUUUAUUGGGCGUAAAGAGCGUGUAGGCGGCUUGACAGGUCUGCUGUGAAAACUCGAGGCUCAACCUCGAGAUGUCGGCGGAAACCGUCUGGCUAGAGUCCGGAAGAGGAGAGUGGAAUUCCAGGUGUAGAGGUGAAAUUCGUAGAUAUUCGCAAGAACACCAGUGGCGAAGGCGGCUCACUGGCCCGAUACUGACGCUGAGGCACGAAAGCGUGGGGAGCGAACAGG
This 253-nucleotide ribosomal RNA is filed under the name uncultured bacterium. Its description in RNAcentral is "partial 16S ribosomal RNA". It matches the Rfam family "Bacterial small subunit ribosomal RNA", at positions 524 to 776 of the family's 1533-position model. The record is from RNAcentral.